GACGAACGCUGGCGGCGUGCUUAACACAUGCAAGUCGAACGGAAAGGCCCUGCUUUUGUGGGGUGCUCGAGUGGCGAACGGGUGAGUAACACGUGAGUAACCUGCCCUUGACUUUGGGAUAACUUCAGGAAACUGGAGCUAAUACCGGAUAGGAGCUCCUGCUUCAUGGUGGGGGUUGGAAAGUUUCGGCGGUUGGGGAUGGACUCGCGGCUUAUCAGCUUUUUGGUGGGGUAGUGGCUUACCAAGGCUUUGGCGGGUAGCCGGCCUGAGAGGGUGACCGGCCACAUUGGGACUGAGCUACGGCACAGACUCGUACGGGAGGCAGCAGUGGGGAAUAUUGCACAAUGGGCGGAAGCCUGAUGCAGCAACGCCGCGUGCGGGAUGACGGCCUUCGGGUUGUAAACCGCUUUCGCCUGUGACGAAGCGUGAGUGACGGUAAUGGGUAAAGAAGCACCGGCUAACUACGUG
This 468-nucleotide ribosomal RNA is filed under the name uncultured bacterium. RNAcentral describes it as "partial 16S ribosomal RNA". It matches the Rfam family "Bacterial small subunit ribosomal RNA", at positions 28 to 507 of the family's 1533-position model. The record is from RNAcentral.